This 497-nucleotide ribosomal RNA is filed under the name uncultured bacterium. RNAcentral's name for it is "partial 16S ribosomal RNA". It matches the Rfam family "Bacterial small subunit ribosomal RNA", at positions 28 to 507 of the family's 1533-position model. The record is from RNAcentral.
GAUGAACGCUGGCGGCGUGCCUAAUACAUGCAAGUCGAGCGAACGGACGAGAAGCUUGCUUCUCUGAUGUUAGCGGCGGACGGGUGAGUAACACGUGGAUAACCUACCUAUAAGACUGGGAUAACUUCGGGAAACCGGAGCUAAUACCGGAUAAUAUUUUGAACCGCAUGGUUCAAAAGUGAAAGACGGUCUUGCUGUCACUUAUAGAUGGAUCCGCGCUGCAUUAGCUAGUUGGUAAGGUAACGGCUUACCAAGGCAACGAUGCAUAGCCGACCUGAGAGGGUGAUCAGCCACACUGGAACUAAGACACGGUCCAGACUCCUACGGGAGGCAGCAGUAGGGAAUCUUCCGCAAUGGGCGAAAGCCUGACGGAGCAACGCCGCGUGAGUGAUGAAGGUCUUCGGAUCGUAAAACUCUGUUAUUAGGGAAGAACAUAUGUGUAAGUAACUGUGCACAUCUUGACGGUACCUAAUCAGAAAGCCACGGCUAACUACGUG